AGUGAACGCUGGCGGCGUGCCUAAUACAUGCAAGUCGAACGGAGUGGCGCACGGGUGAGUAAUAUAUAGCUAAUCUGCCCCUUGCUGGGGGACAAAAGUUAGAAAUGACUGCUAAUAAUCCAUAGCAAGGGAUGAGACGAUAUCGUGUCAGCUAGUCGGUGGGGUAACGGCCUACCGAGGCUAUGACGCGUAACUGGUAUGAGAGGAGGAUCAGUCAAAUUGUAACUGAGACACGGGCCAAACUCCUACCGGAGUCAGCAGUAGGGAAUAUUGCGCAAUGGGGGAAAACCUGACGCAGCAACGCCGCGUGGAGGAUUACACUUGUCGGAGCGUAAACUCCUUUUGUUAGGGAAGCGGUACCUAACGAAUAAGCACCGGCUAACUCCGUGCCAGCAGCCGCGGUAAUAC
RNAcentral lists this ribosomal RNA (408 nucleotides) under uncultured bacterium. RNAcentral's name for it is "partial 16S ribosomal RNA". It matches the Rfam family "Bacterial small subunit ribosomal RNA", at positions 29 to 526 of the family's 1533-position model. The record is from RNAcentral.